GACUAGGUAGCAAAACGGUUAUGCAUGGGAUUGCAAAUCCUAAAAUAUUGGUUCGAAUCCAAUUCUAGUCU
Molecule: transfer RNA, 71 nt
Filed under: Eucheuma denticulatum
Lineage: Eukaryota; Rhodophyta; Florideophyceae; Gigartinales; Solieriaceae
Description: tRNA-Cys
Rfam family: tRNA
About the family: Transfer RNA (tRNA) molecules are approximately 80 nucleotides in length. Their secondary structure includes four short double-helical elements and three loops (D, anti-codon, and T loops).
Source: RNAcentral